Molecule: long non-coding RNA, 6546 nt
Organism: Gasterosteus aculeatus aculeatus (three-spined stickleback)
Lineage: Eukaryota; Metazoa; Chordata; Actinopteri; Perciformes; Gasterosteidae
Source: Ensembl
UUCUUGAUUUUUUUUUAAAUCUUUUUUUUCACCAACCACUAACCCACUGGUUCCCAAUGGGGAUCACUCCUUUUGUUUUCCUGGCAACUUUGUAAAAAGCAAGAUAUGUGGCAUACGCAGGUUUUCUUCCCUCUUCAUCACAUAUCAUGAUAUUUGUAAUGAAUCAUUCCUUUGAAUAGUUCUUGAAUAUGUUUUUGAAUAUUUUUCGAAUAUAUUUUAAUAUUUCUUUUAAUAUUUCUUGAAUAUUUCUUGAAUAUUUCUUGAUUUUUUUUUAAAUCUUUUUUUUCACCAACCACUAACCCACUGGUUCCCAAUGGGGAUCACUCCUUUUGUUUUCCUGGAAACUUUGUAAAAAGCAAGAUAUGUGGCAUACGCAGGUUGUCUUCCCUCUUUAUCACGUAUCAUAAUCUUUGUAAUGAAACUUUCCUUUGGAUAGUUCUUUAACAUGUUUUUGAGUAUUUUUCGAAUACUUCUUUGCAUAUUUCUUGAAUAUUUCUUGAAUAUUUCUUGAUUUUUUUUUAAAUCUUUUUUUUUCACCAACCACUAACCCACUGGUUCCCAAUGGGGAUCACUCCUUUUGUUUUCCUGGCAACUUUGUAAAAAGCAAGAUAUGUGGCAUACGCAGGUUUUAUUCCCUCUUUAUCACAUAUCAUAAUCUUUGUAAUGAAUCAUUCCUUUGAAUAGUUCUUGAAUAUGUUUUUGAAUAUUUUUCGAAUAUAAUCUCAAAUUAACCAUAUUUAGUCUUGUGAAAGACAAAGUUGGCUCAUGUAUGACAUUUUGAGAAGCUUAAACUUAUGGUGGUAUGGAGUAGUACAUCUUAAUGUCCUGGUUAUCACCAAGUCACACUUUCGGGAUCUGUAUUCUCUGCCUGAAGUGGAAUUAUCAUUUAUCUAUUGAUAGUUUCAUUUUAAACCUAAUCUGAAAUCGAUUAGAACUUGACUAGUGAAAGAUUUUGAAGGAAGUUGGCUCUUCUAUUUUGAGAGGCUUUAAUUAACUCUGAGCGACAGCUGGAGGUGGUAUACUAUCAACCGAAGUGAAAUUAUUAUGUAACUAUUGAUUGAUACCCUUCUCCUUGCAGAUUAAUCAGAUCCCUGUCAAAUGUUUUUAGAAAAGACCUGAGACCUUAACAUUGUAAAAUAUGUAGUUUGCAAAACAUCAUCACGGUUAACGACGACUUACUCUCGGACGCUUUGUUCCGGCGGCCGUUGGAGUUCUUGGCUGCUUUUGUAGCCGUCCGGCCGGUGCCCGGCGGGCGGACUAGCGAGGACCAACGCUGCUCACAGCUUUAAUUUUUUUUGCAUCCUGAAACUGUAACAAUCCAGAUUUAAUUGCAUCAAACCCUGAUGUCACAACCAGCUGGUUUGUUUCUUCAGUGAUUUUUUUCAGUGCUGAUUUUCUUCCUGAGAAGUGGACUACCGAAUCGUCCAGUUUCCCUGAUGUGAAUCUGUUUAAAAACAUAACACUGCCUUUUUGUUUCAGGACUUUUGGAAGGCCAUCGGCAAAGCACCUUUCAAGUGUGUUCAACAUCCCCCCACAUUUCCGUGAGAGCUUUCAAAUGAGGCGGAGUGAGAGGCUGCUAUCAUGACAAGCCUUGCAAGUGCUUCACAACCCGAUACCCACAAGGCUUUGUUUCGGAGGUUAUCUUCGCUCUCCACUCGGUUCACUCGAGCAGCCGAUCCGCCAGCGACAGAAAGGGAGCAGCGGUGUGACAGCCGCAGCACGAUUAGACGCCACGUUGGUGGAAUGGGGCCAGCCUUCAUGGUUGUUUACACAGCGUUGGCCCAUCAUUAGGCUUGGCCACACUGCCUACUGCUUUCGUAAUAAUUCAAUGAAAAUACAGUAAAGCGUGGCCCCCCCAGCCAGAAUUGUGAAGUAAGACUCAAUUAACCCCAAUGACCCCGUCCAAAACAAACAAAUAAGAAAUUAAUUAUUUGCAGCAACCGACACACAGACGGGCUUAGUGGCUCCAAAACGACAAUAUAAAUGGUUGAGAAUGCGUUUUCACCUUGUUUUCCUCCGCGUCGGCCAAAUUAAUGGACUAUUAAAAAAUCUGCAGCAACAUAAAAUGGAUCUGAUGAAAGCGCAGCCAGCUCUGAGGAUCAGCAUUUUUUCUUUUUGCAUAUCAUUAUCCUGACGCCAGCUUGUCAAUUCACAAUUUUGAAACAAGAGCGAACACAACAGAUUUUCGUUUGUGUGGUGAUGUGCUGCAUUCGAUAUCAACUGACGUCUCAAUGUGUGCGUGUGCUUGCGUGCUUGUGUGAGUGUAAACAGUUCCCCCUCCGACACACAGACACACAUGCAAACGUUCAGACAACCUGCGAGAGAAAGUGUCCCACUAAUUUGAAACGCACUCGCAUUUGUGCACAAUACAGUGAUCCGCAGACUUUCAUGUUAUCACAUUGGCAGUUAUGAGUAAUUGCAGCCUGCAGCAGUCCCUUCCCCUGGACAACUUUUAAUUAUGUUACAAAGUGCACACGCUCUCCUGCAUUAAUGUCUCUGCUGGAGUCCUGAAAGAUUACAUCCACUCGCGGGGAGUACAAGGAAUAGCUUCCCCAAAUCAUGAAAACAUGUUGAUUAUAGUGAGAUAAACUCACACCGUGGUAUUUGUUGAUGUCAAUGAGGGAUCGCCCUUUGUGUUGUGCAUGAUAAGGAAUUUAAAAAUAACGUGUGGCAGAGCCGUGUGGUGCUGACAGAAGCUGAGAGGCGGCAGGGGAGCUGGAGGUAAGAACAAGAACAAGAAAAGGAAUAGCAGAGAUGUGAGUGCUGACAACAUGAAUGAAUGAACCCACUGUAACGUAUUCCUCGGGCACCGUGGAUCAUUUAUGUCUUGUAGGUCCCGCAACUGAAACAGCUCUCUCUGUGGAGACCAGUGUGUGUGUGUGUUUGUGUGUGUGCUGUCCAUCAUCCCAGCAGCAGAUGAGUGUGAAGUGAAGCCCAUACCAACCAGCAGCAUGUCACUCACAGUUAAACGUCAGACUAGUCCUCCUCGUCACACUUGAGUUAAGGAACACAUCGAGGCCUGAUUGCUUCACGACCAGUUUGGACCGACAUAUAAACAUAUGAAACACAAAUCAAUGUUUUUUUUAACUGCAAAAGAGCAACGAGACGGAAACAUCUAAUAUGUCUUCUCUCCAAUAAGAGCGCAGUUAACUUAAUAAUACUGUAUGUACUGCAGGUAAUGUCUUACUUAACACAUUUCCUAUUUGUACACUUUCUUCCCUAUGGAAUUUCCUAGAAUCCUAAAUUACGUGAGAUAUACUUUCAGAAGAUAUCUUUGGGAUACGUCUGAUUAAAUUAACAUGGUGAUGAUGAAACCAUUGAUUUUGACAUUAAGUUUGGAAGUAUAUAUAUAUAUAUAUAUAUAUAUAUAUAUAUAUAUAUAUUUUGUGAAAAAAAAAAAUCCUGAAAGAUUAUCUACAUAUUACAUGUUGAUGCUGACAAGGUUUGUUAUUGUUUAGGUUUGAAUUACCUGUUUAAUGCCUGACUGAUUAUGACUGCAAUAAGCACAAAGGGAAAAAUGACCUCUUUGCUUAAAAAAAACUGACAAGAGACAGGCGCCUUUUGCAAAACGUGUUCUUUCAAUCAAUGUCCACUGCACCGUGCCGGCUUAAUCACAGAUCUUGUACAUGGAUAAUUGCUACAAGUGAACCUGGCUUGGCUGACAUUUGCAUAUAUUGAGUUACAGGAGUCAGUCUCACUCCUGCUCCGCUGGAUCAUCGCUUGUGAUGUUAUCUGUGAGGAACCGGAAACAUCAAAAGCACUUCACCUGUCAGUGCUGUUUAAUAAAGGGCUGGAAUACAAUUACAACCAUUAAACUUAAAUCACAUGUGUAUAAUUAACAAAUGAACCGUAGUAUCAAUGUGUCCCGUUGGCCUUGGAGUACACAUUUAUAGCUCUAGCCUCGGCCAUACAUUACUGACCUGUGGUCAUCCUUAGGGACCCCCACCUGGCAAGGGCCGAAAGAUAAAUCAAAGGGGUCACGAGCAGAAAGCUACUGUAUUCCACGGUUACUGAGUCAGUGGAUUCAUGUCAAUGCAAGAAGCCAAAUGAAGUCCAUGUUUUUCAAUCACAUUGGAAUGGUCUUUUGGGGAGGGUGGAUGACUAAUACAGAUCUUACACAUGCAAUGGAAGGUCUGAACAGGAGAAAAAAAAACAGUAGAUGGGAGCUCUUAAUUUGACUAAUUUAAUUUAGCUUUUUAAUGUCUCUUCUCAGUUUCUUCCAUGAACACUUUAUAAAGCUCCCUACAUUAGAAAGAGAGUUAAGAACACUUGUAUAUAUUUCAAAUUUGCAAGAUGAUUUAAUAAAUAAAAAUCACACUAAACCGACAGCAUCCAUACAAAAAUUGCAAAGAACGAUAGCAAGACAGUCCUGAGAAAUCUUCUUGAAAUGUGAUAUCCCGUUUUAUGUAUAUUAAUUAGGGCUGUCAAUAGAUUGAAAAAAAGUAAUUGAUUGAACAUUUUAUUAUACAUUAAUUGUGAUUAAUCACAAUAAACCUUUAACACUUAAAAGAGUGUCAUUUUUUUUUUACACAGUGGUGUUGAGAUGGAAUUAGCCUAGCAGCUAUCUUAGCCUAGCAGUGCGUAAAGUGGUCUGUUUGCCGCUCUCCUCCCUUCUGUUUGACACGUGGAGGAAUUCCUCUGCACAGUUCUUCGCUGUAUGUCGCGCCUCUAUUUGUCGCUCUCUUGUCUAACCGACGGCAGCUAGCGACGGUUUCGUUUCCGGGAUCAACUUUGUUUACUUCCGUCACACCUGAAGAGCGGAAGUAAACAAAGUUGCAUUAACUGCGUUAAAAUAGUUUAUCGCAUUAAUCUCUGCCACAUCAAUCGCAUAGAUUUAACACGCUAAUCAGCCCUGACAUUAAUUAUUCAAAUCAAUAGUGAUAACAAAAAUAUCUAUUUUAUGCAUUUUUAAUUUAGCCCAAGAAGUGAUUUGAUAUUGCCAAUACAGUCAUGUAUUCCCAUCUUUACACAAGCGCUGUAGUAUAACUUGUCUUUGAAAGGUUUGAUUAUGUUUGGAAGUGGAGUUUGAAUUAAAUUUUGUUCAUGCUAGAGCAGCUGUUUGAAUCUGGUCCAACCGCCCGCGCCGCAACAGAUCAAUAUGCCUACUGACAAAUUACUACAAGACACUUUUCAAAAUAUUAUUGGAAACCAUCUGGAAAGCCGAUGCUGUUCCCACUAAUUAAAACAAUAGAUAUUGCAGGAGACAGGGAUGACAAAAGGAGAGGUGUAACAUGACAGAAAAUCUUCAAAGCACCCUUAGCAAGACACGUGAUUUUACAAAACAUUGUUUCUGUAUAAGAUGAUCCUAUUAAUCAUUAGGAUAUAUCAUUAUUUCCACAAAGGUUGCUUCCAAUGACGCUCUUUCAGCUGUCGCUGCUCAUCUCUUAGAUAAGCUUUAUAUAGUCCGCUCUGUUAUUUCACGAAUCUCAUAGUCAUCAUACAUCAGAAAAAGGCUCACGAGAAUGAACCCACAUUGUUCCUGAUACUUGAACAGUCAAUAAGAGGGUGGUGACCUGACAUUAAUGUUGAUUUUAUGUAAGUUAUGUAGGUCUAUUUAAGCAUAAUGUUGCUCUCCUGGCUCCAAUCUUGUGAGAAAUAUCCAUUAUCCUUUGAAAUGACAUAAUAUCUGGUACAUUGAGAAUAACUUUGUAUUUUAUAGUGUAUUUUUACCGCCUUGUCUACCGGCAGAGCUUCAGUUUAAAGUCCGUUUUGUCUGGCUCGACCAGGGAGAAGCCUUUGAGAUUGGAGCUUCAACUCAAAGACCACACAUUAAAGUAUUUUACCACUGGGAGUUUGCAAAGGCCUUAUUAGCCCCUGUGUCAGUGAUCGCAGACCAGUACAAAGCCCCCCCCCUUCCCUCCCCUGGCUGCCAGUUUACUGUAGCUCUGUUUUCUGGGGUCUGGAGCGACUGCGCCUGUUUCCUGGCUACUGCUUAGUUCUCUCCACGGAACCGCCGUUGAGGAGAGGCUACAGCAAGCAUCCACGCACUGUGAAGGGAAAGGAUUCCAAUUCAUCCGCCAUCGAGUGGUUAAUGACAAUACAAUGUGCCGCAAUUAUGGGGAUUAGAGGCAGGGAUUUGUGUACAGUCAAUGGGAUUUCCAGCAACACCUCAGUGCUACCUCAGUAAAUUGAAGGACUUUGGGUGAGGACGGGUGGGUUUCAUGUUUUGGGAACUCUUUAUGAAACUAAACCUUAUUCACAAGACUCAUUUUAGCCGUGAGAGUAUGUGUGGCUUUCUUGAUCUUUCAGUAUUUUUAUAAUAAAAAGUAACAUCCUGCACGUUGUGUUUCAUCGUCUUAAGAUGUUUACGUGGGAUUUUCAGAUCCCUGAACUCACUCUCUGAGAAAGCUAAAUUCAUCUUCAUCUUAUUUCUACGACCCAAAGCUUCUGUCCACAGAUGAGAGUCGGUGCAUCCUCAUUGUCAGAAUUACAAUCAGCUUCGUUUGACAAGUAAACAGAACAUUUGUCUCUGUGUUGUUUUAAAUGAGCUCAAUGUGCUGAAACAGAAAUACACAAGAACCAUUAUGCACACAAGUAUUGUCUAUA